RNAcentral lists this ribosomal RNA (125 nucleotides) under Salmonella enterica. RNAcentral's name for it is "partial 23S ribosomal RNA". The stretch from base 1 to 107 matches the Rfam family "Bacterial large subunit ribosomal RNA", at positions 2819 to 2925 of the family's 2925-position model. The record is from RNAcentral. Lineage: Bacteria; Pseudomonadati; Pseudomonadota; Gammaproteobacteria; Enterobacterales; Enterobacteriaceae.
UAAGUCUCCUGAAGGAACGUUGAAGACGACGACGUUGAUAGGUCGGGUGUGUAAGCGCAGCGAUGCGUUGAGCUAACCGAUACUAAUGAACCGUGAGGCUUAACCUUACAACGCCGAAGGUGUUU